RNAcentral lists this ribosomal RNA (547 nucleotides) under uncultured bacterium. RNAcentral's name for it is "bacterial SSU rRNA". It matches the Rfam family "Bacterial small subunit ribosomal RNA", at positions 358 to 916 of the family's 1533-position model. The record is from RNAcentral.
GGAAUAUUGCGCAAUGGACGAAAGUCUGACGCAGCGACGCCUCGUGAGGGACGAAGGUCUUCGGAUUGUAAACCUCUUUCAGCAGGGACGAAGCGAAAGUGACGGUACCUGCAGAAGAAGCACCGGCUAACUAUGUGCCAGCAGCCGCGGUAAUACAUAGGGUGCAAGCGUUGUCCGGAUUUAUUGGGCGUAAAGAGUUCGUAGGCGGUUUCUCGCGUCGGAUGUGAAAACUCAGGGCUCAACCCUGAACCUGCAUUCGAUACGGGGAAACUUGAGGACGGCAGGGGAGACUGGAACUCCUGGUGUAGCGGUGGAAUGCGCAGAUAUCAGGAAGAACACCAAUGGCGAAGGCAGGUCUCUGGGCCGAUUCUGACGCUGAGGAACGAAAGCGUGGGGAGCAAACAGGAUUAGAUACCCUGGUAGUCCACGCCGUAAACGAUGGACGCUAGGUGUGGGAACAUUCCACGUUCUCUGCGCCGCAGCUAACGCAUUAAGCGUCCCGCCUGGGGAGUACGACCGCAAGGUUAAAACUCAAAGGAAUUGACGG